RNAcentral lists this ribosomal RNA (1604 nucleotides) under oral metagenome. Its description in RNAcentral is "bacterial LSU rRNA". It matches the Rfam family "Bacterial large subunit ribosomal RNA", at positions 401 to 1995 of the family's 2925-position model. The record is from RNAcentral.
GGGUAUCCUGAGUAUGGCGGAGCAGGUGAAACUCUGUCUGAAUUUGCCGGCACCAUCCGGUAAGGCUAAAUACUCACGAGAGACCGAUAGCGAACAAGUACCGUAAGGGAAAGGUGAAAAGAACCCCAAGCAGGGGAGUGAAAAGAACCUGAAACCGUGCGCUUACAAGCGGUCGGAGCAAUUUUCGGAUUGUGACGGCGUGCCUUUUGCAUAAUGAGCCUACGAGUUACUCUUCUAUAGCGAGCCUAAUACGUUCAGCGUAGGAUGCGAAGCGAAAGCGAGUCUUAACAGGGCGAAAUAGUUAUAGGAGGUAGACGCGAAACCGAGUGAUCUACCCAUGGGCAGGUUGAAGUUGCGAUAGUCUCGCGAUGGAGGACCGAACCAGUACAUGUUGAAAAAUGUUUGGAUGACCUGUGGGUAGGGGUGAAAGGCCAAUCAAACUCGGAGAUAUCUCGUACUCCCCGAAAUGCAUUUAGGUGCAGCGUUAAAAUAGAUUGUCUUGGAGGUAGAGCUACCAAUAGGGCUAGGGGGCUUCACCGCCUACCAACCCCUGAUGAACUCCGAAUGCCGGGACAAGUUUUUUAGCAGUGAGGCUAUGGGUGCUAAGGUCCAUAGCCGAGAGGGAAAGAACCCGGACCAACAGCUAAGGUCCCUAAAUAUGAACUAAGUUGAAAGAACGAUGUGGGAAUGCAAUGACAGCUAGGAUGUUGGCUUGGAAGCAGCCAUUCAUUUAAAGAGUGCGUAACAGCUCACUAGUCGAGGGUUCCUGCGCGGAAGAUGAUCGGGCAUAAAGUUCAUUACCGAAGCUUUGGUCUUCAGACGUAAGUUUGGAGAGGUAGGGGAGCAUUCUCAGGUUGGUGAAUGUGUGCUGUGAGGCAUGCUGGAGAGCUGAGAAAAGAAAAUGUAGGCAUAAGUAACGAUAAAUCUGAUGAGAAAUCAGAUCGCCGAAAGACUAAGGUUUCCUGGAUCUAUGUUAAUCAGAACAGGGUUAGUCGAGACCUAAGACGCAGCCGCGAGGUGAAGUCGAUGGAAAACUGGUUAAUAUUCCAGUACCUUUAUAUACUGCGAUGGAGUGACGGAGACACGUAAGGUCUGCCCACUGACGGAAUAGUGGGUUGAAGUGCGUAGGCGAUGAUCUUUAUAGGCAAAUCCGUAGAGAGAGCUGAACCACGAUAGUACACAGAGGACUUCGGUCUGAUGUGAUAAUGAUCCCAAGUAUGCUUCCGAGAAAACCUUCUAAGCUACAGGUAUAUAGAGCUCGUACCGUAAACCGACACAGGUGGUUGGGGAGAGUAUCCUAAGGCGCUCGAGUGAUUCAUGGCUAAGGAACUAGGCAAAAUAGCCCCGUAACUUCGGGAGAAGGGGCGCUCAAUGUUAAUAUUGAGCCGCAGUGAAAAGGCCCAGGCGACUGUUUAGCAAAAACACAGGACUCUGCGAAAUCGAAAGAUGAAGUAUAGGGUCUGACACCUGCCCGGUGCCGGAAGGUUAAGGGAGGGGGUUAGCGCAAGCGAAGCUCUUGACUGAAGCCCCGGUAAACGGCGGCCGUAACUAUAACGGUCCUAAGGUAGCGAAAUUCCUUGUCGGGUAAGUUCCGACCUGCACGA